RNAcentral lists this ribosomal RNA (266 nucleotides) under uncultured bacterium. Its description in RNAcentral is "partial 16S ribosomal RNA". It matches the Rfam family "Bacterial small subunit ribosomal RNA", at positions 92 to 354 of the family's 1533-position model. The record is from RNAcentral.
CGACCGGCGCACGGGUGAGUAACACGUAUGGAACCUGCCCUAUGCAGGGGGAUAAGCGGAAGAAAUUCCGUCUAAUACCGCAUAACACCAUUUGGAGACAUCUCCAGGGGGUCAAAGGAGGCGACUCCGGCAUAGGAUGGCCAUGCGUCGCAUUAGCUAGUCGGCGGGGUAACGGCCCACCGAGGUGACGAUGCGUAGGGGUUCUGAGAGGAAGGUCCCCCACACUGGUACUGAGACACGGACCAGACUCCUACGGGAGGCAGCAG